Rosa chinensis is the source of this 1307-nucleotide long non-coding RNA. RefSeq lists it as uncharacterized. The transcript has 2 exons. The record is from RefSeq and is a predicted model, not a curated record. NCBI's taxonomy places the organism in Eukaryota, Viridiplantae, Streptophyta, Magnoliopsida, Rosales, Rosaceae.
UCUGCGAAGCUUUUAAUGGCUCAAGAAGAGAGCUUAUCCCCACAUUACACGUACCCUUGUUAAUUACUACUCAGCUGCUCUGCUAUAAAUACUGCCUGCCCUUCUCACAGCCUUUCCUACCAUAAUCAUAUUCCACAACUCAGAAGCUAAGUUAAGCGCUUGAUAGCAUUUUCUGGGUAAAAGGGCUAGUCUAGCCUACCCUAGCUAGUAGAGCUAGCUUCUUCUUCUUCUUCUUCUUUACCUAGCUGAUCAUGGUGUUAAAGGCUAGUAUGGAAGAAUCUGUAAAGCUCAGGAGGGAUAGCGCCAUUUAUGCUUUGCUUUGAUUAUUAGCUUAAUCAUAUAUAUCGCUAUCCAUCCUGGGUUUCCUGGGUUCUUCUUACUUUGAUCUCUGUUGCUUGCUUUGUUUUUCCUCAACAAAGUUAGCUUUGCUAUUUAUUCUCUUUUUUUGUUGGUAAUUCUUUUAUUAUGUGCAGGAAGGUUCAUGUAGUACAUGCUCUAGUUUGCUAUUUGGUCUCAUCCAAAAGAAUCAGACCCAAAAUCUGUAUUGAAACAGUCCGAGUUUGACAAGCUAGUAUAGUUUUAUUGGGUCAGUUUUAUUCCCUCUUUGCCUCAUUUGCUUUCAAAUCAGGAAGCAAUCUGAAGCCGCAUCUUUUUCCUCAAGAGCCUUCUGGGUUUGUAAUUUGCAAAGGUCCCCAAAAGCCAGGGCUCCUCUUUCCAUUUUUAACCAACCCCCAUUUUCAGCUUCAUUCUUUCUCUCUAUUUAUUUCCAUGGUACUGUCAAAAGUUUGUGUACAAACAUGAGAAAUAAUGGGUAUUACUGAAGGAUCACAUGGAAUUGAGUUGGACCGGAGGAUGUUGACUAUACUUCCAAACCCAAGCUGGUGAAAAGUCAGGGUCGUCAGAUAAACUACCUAAAAUUUAGCUAAAGGGUUUUUGCACCUUUCUGAUAUUUUCUUUCCUCUUUCAGGUUGAAGCCAAGUAAUUAUGUUGGGUGUAUUAUCCAAGUGUUAGAGGCUUUUUCUACUUCGGCUUCAAUGAUUGCAGGUUGCUGCUAUAUUGGGAAUGAGUGAGAAUGAAGAUGAGCAGCUCUAACAUCAUCACUUGUGGCCAAUUAGCUUAGUAAUAGUGACAAAAACAAAAGCCAAUUAUGUGAAGUGUAAAAAUCAAGCUUUUGGUGUAGUUCCACAAAUCAGAAAAUGGGAUUAAUCAGCUGAUGCCUCGUCAUAAUUGCUUACCCAGCUGAGCUUGUAUUUGAUGAAUGAAUAUAUAUGAAACCAAAUCACUACAUAUACCUCAGGGUUCCUUGA